GGUCCUGCGACUGGGUGUGGGAUUUGGCCUGCUCAAUGAUUUAUUAAAUAGCCGCGGUAUUUUGACCGUGCAAAGGUAGCAUAAUAAUUAGUCUUUUAAUUGGGGUCUGGUAUGAAUGGUUAGACGUGGGAGAAACUGUCUAUGGGCUAUGGUUGUCUGAGGUUUACUUUUAAGUGAAAAGGCUUAGAUGUCCUUGGGGGACGAUAAGACCCUAUAGAUCUUUACGUGCUGGUUUGCGUUAGUGUUAGCUAGGGCGUUUUGUUGGGGUGAUGGGGAGAUAUUGAUAACUCUCUUAAGUAGUGGUUGCCCGCCGGCAUUAUUAAUGAUCCAGUGGUUUUUGAUAGGUGGAUUAAGUUACCUUAGGGAUAACAGCGUAAUUUUUUUUGAGAGUUCUUAUCGACAAGAAAGGUUGCGACCUCGAUGUUGGAUUAAGGGGCCUUGGUGGUGCAGCUGCUGCUAGAGAGGGGGUCUGUUCGACCCUUGAUUCCUUACA
This 493-nucleotide ribosomal RNA is filed under the name Anelpistina nubigena. RNAcentral's name for it is "partial 16S ribosomal RNA". It matches the Rfam family "Bacterial large subunit ribosomal RNA", at positions 1829 to 2600 of the family's 2925-position model. The record is from RNAcentral. Lineage: Eukaryota; Metazoa; Arthropoda; Insecta; Zygentoma; Nicoletiidae.